RNAcentral lists this ribosomal RNA (459 nucleotides) under uncultured bacterium. RNAcentral's name for it is "partial 16S ribosomal RNA". It matches the Rfam family "Bacterial small subunit ribosomal RNA", at positions 338 to 795 of the family's 1533-position model. The record is from RNAcentral.
CCUACGGGAGGCUGCAGUGAGGAAUAUUGGUCAAUGUGCGGAAGCCUGAACCAGCCAAGUAGCGUGCGGGAUGAAGGCCCUACGGGUCGUCAACCGCUUUUGCACGGGGAUAACACCCUCCAAUUGUGGAGGUCUGCAGGUACCGUGCGAAUAAGGGCCGGCUAAUUCCGUGCCAGCAGCAGCGGUAAUACGGAAGGCCCGAGCGUUAUCCGGAUUCAUUGGGCUUAAAGGGAGUGUAGGCGGGCGUUAACGUCAGCUGUAAAAUCGCGCGGCUCAACCGCGCCCCGCAGUUGAAACGGGACGCCUUGAGUACACAACAGGCAGGCGGAAUUCGUGGUGUAGCGGUGAAAUGCAUAGAUAUCACGAGGAACGCCGAGUGCGAAGGCAGCCUGCCGGGGUGCGGCUGACGCUGAGGCUCGAAGGUGAGGGUAUCAAACAGGAUUAGAUACCCCGGUAGUC